AGUCGAACGCGAAAGCCCCGCAAGGGGCAAGUAGAGUGGCAAACGGCCUGUAGUAACGCGUGGGUGACCUGCCUUCGAGCGGGGGAUAACGUUUCCGAAAGGGACGCUAAUACCGCAUAACAUCCUGCCUUUGAAAAGGUGGAGAUCAAAGCUGGGGAUCGCAAGACCUGGCACUUGAAGAGGGGCCCGCGUCUGAUUAGCUAGUUGGUGAGGUAACGGCUCACCAAGGCAACGAUCAGUAUCCGGCCUGAGAGGGCGGACGGACACACUGGGACUGAGACACGGCCCAGACUCCUACGGGAGGCAGCAGUGGGGAAUUGUUCGCAAUGGGCGCAAGCCUGACGACGCAACGCCGCGUGGAGGAUGAAGAUUUUCGGAUCGUAAACUCCUGUCGAACGGGACGAAAAGGUUGCGGGUUAACAACCCGCGAUCCUGACGGUACCGUUAAAGGAAACCCCGGCUAACUCCGUGCCAGCAGCCGCGGUAAUACGGGGGGGGUAAGCGUUGUUCGGAAUUACUGGGCGUAAAGGGCUCGUAGGCGGCCAACUAAGUCAGACGUGAAAUCCCUCAGCUUAACUGGGGAACUGCGUCUGAUACUGGAUGGCUUGGAUUCGGGAGAGGAAUGCGGAAUUCCAGGUGUAGCGGUGAAAUGCGUAGAUAUCUGGAGGAACACCGGUGGCGAAGGCGGCAUUCUGGACCGACAUUGACGCUGAGGAGCGAAAGCCAGGGGAGCAAACGGGAUUAGAUACCCCGGUAGUCCUGGCCCUAAACGAUGAAUGCUUGGUGUGGCGGGUAUCGAUC
RNAcentral lists this ribosomal RNA (801 nucleotides) under uncultured Pseudomonadota bacterium. RNAcentral's name for it is "bacterial SSU rRNA". It matches the Rfam family "Bacterial small subunit ribosomal RNA", at positions 60 to 837 of the family's 1533-position model. The record is from RNAcentral. Lineage: Bacteria; Pseudomonadati; Pseudomonadota.